CUGAACCUGCUCAAGGUGAUGGUAAUGGUUUAUUUAGGCGAGUACGUGUGCAUGUCAGUGGACCCGAAGAUGGGUUGGGUGGUAUUGGACAUGGAAUUACUUUUGCGCCAGUAGAUGCUUAGCCACCAAUACGUAUGUCUUUUCAUGUGUGCCUUUUGGUGUCAGCAACAUAAAUUGCCCACAAACUCUUGCUAAUGACGCUUCAGAAGCCAGAGGUGACCAGGGUGGCGAUUUGUUGGGAGAUGGAGAUGGGUUGACAGCUCUGUUUGGGCUAAGCCAGGGAGGAAGUAAUGCAGCUAAUAACCACAGGGAUCUAACCGCAAGAGGUUAUGAGACAGAUCUCCAGAGUAAAUUGUCUGAAACUUCUGUCGGGGGACCAAGUGGAAAUGCCAUCCCUGUGCAGAUGCUUGAUCAUACCGGUGAUGACGUUGGAAUUCAAUGGGAUAGUACUAGUGGUUCCUCCCUCUCUUUGGAUAUGAAGACCCCUCUUGGUUAUUUUCCUCCUUUCUGUUUUGGUUCAUCUGGGGCAAGCUCAGGAUAUGAUAUGUAGAGGACUAUUGCUUGGUGUUAUCCACUGGUCGAAUUUGUGGAUGUUCACAGGCUCAGUGAUGGCUAAGUCAAGCACUCGGCAGAAUUAUCUUAUGCAGUUUCAUUAUGAAAGGUGAGUGUCCAAGCUUUUAAUGAUGAGACCCUCAAGGGUGCAGAACACUCGGAUUCAUUGAGGAAGGCUGAAUGCCCUGAUUCCUUGGAAAGGUUGGUGUUUUUAUUGCUUAGUUUGAGCAUGAGAGUAUUUACUUGUGUUUCGAUGUGGAUGGAUGAUUCUUUAUAUUAGCUUGAUGUGGGUUUCAUAUGCAUGUUACUCUCUAAAGUUCAUUUGAAAUGAAGGGAAAUUAAUGGGAAGUCACGACUGACUGUUAUAUUUAAUUCUCAAUUCAAACUCAUUUUGCCUUUACAACUUCUCUCUGGCAAGUUCAUGUGUAUGUAGACACUCAUGAAAAGGUCACUGAUCAGUAUCAGGUAGAGUUCUAAUUCAAAAAUAGCUAUUUAAAAGGUCAAAUAUCAUUUGAAUAUAUUACGCGGUCACUGUAUAGCUUGUUAACUUCUGUGUCACUAUGUCCUUGUCAUUCAGCUAAUCUGUCCAUUGAAAAGAUA
Long non-coding RNA from Eucalyptus grandis, 1152 nucleotides. RefSeq lists it as uncharacterized. The record is from RefSeq and is a predicted model, not a curated record. Lineage: Eukaryota; Viridiplantae; Streptophyta; Magnoliopsida; Myrtales; Myrtaceae. The transcript has 5 exons.